This 550-nucleotide ribosomal RNA is filed under the name uncultured bacterium. RNAcentral's name for it is "bacterial SSU rRNA". It matches the Rfam family "Bacterial small subunit ribosomal RNA", at positions 355 to 896 of the family's 1533-position model. The record is from RNAcentral.
UAGGGAAUCUUCGGCAAUGGACGGAAGUCUGACCGAGCAACGCCGCGUGAGUGAAGAAGGUUUUCGGAUCGUAAAGCUCGGUUGUAAGAGAAGAACGAGUGUGAGAGUGGAAAGUUCACACUGUGACGGUAUCUUACCAGAAAGGGACGGCUAACUACGUGCCAGCAGCCGCGGUAAUACGUAGGUCCCGAGCGUUGUCCGGAUUUAUUGGGCGUAAAGCGAGCGCAGGCGGUUAGAUAAGUCUGAAGUUAAAGGCUGUGGCUUAACCAUAGUAGGCUUUGGAAACUGUUUAACUUGAGUGCAAGAGGGGAGAGUGGAAUUCCAUGUGUAGCGGUGAAAUGCGUAGAUAUAUGGAGGAACACCGGUGGCGAAAGCGGCUCUCUGGCUUGUAACUGACGCUGAGGCUCGAAAGCGUGGGGAGCAAACAGGAUUAGAUACCCUGGUAGUCCACGCUGUAAACGUUGAGUGCUAGGUGUUAGACCCUUUCCGGGGUUUAGUGCCGUAGCUAACGCAUUAAGCACUCCGCCUGGGGAGUACGACCGCAAGGUUG